Molecule: long non-coding RNA, 596 nt
Organism: Acanthochromis polyacanthus (spiny chromis)
Lineage: Eukaryota; Metazoa; Chordata; Actinopteri; Pomacentridae
Exons: 2
Source: RefSeq, a predicted model, not a curated record
CCAACACAAAGAUGCCAUUCAGAGCUCCAAUUUCCACAAACUCAUCAGCUUCAUCCCUGUCAUGAAGACAUUGGCAUGUUAGAAAUCAAAAGACAAGCACUCAGCAAAUACAUAUGCUAUAAAAGCUCCGGUCCUGCUUUGGUUCCUGCUGCUUCCUGCCCUCAUUGAUUGGACCAGAAUUGUCUUCAUCCCCACUUUAAAUUUUGGGAAAACUCACAGUGAUUUGGUGUGAGCGGGUCACCUCCAUGUCUUUUUGUCUCAUGUUUCUGGUAACUAGACAGAUUGUGUCUGUACCAGCAAACUUUGUUCACUGCAGACUAAAGAAUGAGUUUGUUAGAUUCAGGUGCUUUUAUAUCUCACUUUUAUGCUUCUCCUUGCUGUAGUUUUUGUUUGGUUAGUAAGUGCUGGUAAGUCAGCAUAGAUUUUAAAUUUGAGUUCUUUUGUUGUUAAUCUAGAGCAGUUCUAGUGAGAAGUCCAUCUAUGGUAAUGUUAAUUUCUUUCUAUUUGAGUAUCAUCAACUUCCUGUUUUUCUGACCUAUGUGGAUUUAUGUUGUUAUACAAAAAACCUAUCACUCAUUAAAGUAUAAUUAACUUAA